AGGAAUAUUGGUCAAUGGGCGAGAGCCUGAACCAGCCAAGUAGCGUGAAGGAUGACUGCCCUAUGGGUUGUAAACUUCUUUUAUAAAGGAAUAAAGUCGGGUAUGCAUACCCGUUUGCAUGUACUUUAUGAAUAAGGAUCGGCUAACUCCGUGCCAGCAGCCGCGGUAAUACGGAGGAUCCGAGCGUUAUCCGGAUUUAUUGGGUUUAAAGGGAGCGUAGAUGGAUGUUUAAGUCAGUUGUGAAAGUUUGCGGCUCAACCGUAAAAUUGCAGUUGAUACUGGGUGUCUUGAGUACAGUAGAGGCAGGCGGAAUUCGUGGUGUAGCGGUGAAAUGCUUAGAUAUCACGAAGAACUCCGAUUGCGAAGGCAGCUUGCUGGACUGUAACUGACGCUGAUGCUCGAAAGUGUGGGUAUCAAACAGGAUUAGAUACCCUGGUAGUCCACACAGUAAACGAUGAAUACUCGCUGUUUGCGAUAUACAGUAAGCGGCCAAGCGAAAGCGUUAAGUAUUCCACCUGGGGAGUACGCCGGCAACGGUGAAACUCAAAGGAAUUGACGGGGGCCCGCACAAGCGGAGGAACAUGUGGUUUAAUUCGAUGAUACGCGAGGAACCUUACCCGGGCUUGAAUUGCAACUGAAUGAUGUGGAGACAUGUCAGCCGCAAGGCAGUUGUGAAGGUGCUGCAUGGUUGUCGUCAGCUCGUGCCGUGAGGUGUCGGCUUAAGUGCCAUAACGAGCGCAACCCUUAUCGAUAGUUACCAUCAGGUUAUGCUGGGGACUCUGUCGAGACUGCCGUCGUAAGAUGUGAGGAAGGUGGGGAUGACGUCAAAUCAGCACGGCCCUUACGUCCGGGGCUACACACGUGUUACAAUGGGGGGUACAGAAGGCAGCUACACGGCGACGUGAUGCUAAUCCCUAAAGCCUCUCUCAGUUCGGAUUGGAGUCUGCAACCCGACUCCAUGAAGCUGGAUUCGCUAGUAAUCGCGCAUCAGCCACGGCGCGGUGAAUACGUUCCCG
Molecule: ribosomal RNA, 1016 nt
Filed under: uncultured bacterium
Lineage: Bacteria
Description: bacterial SSU rRNA
Rfam family: Bacterial small subunit ribosomal RNA
Source: RNAcentral